RNAcentral lists this microRNA precursor (77 nucleotides) under Phelipanche ramosa. Its description in RNAcentral is "miR172d". The record is from RNAcentral. Lineage: Eukaryota; Viridiplantae; Streptophyta; Magnoliopsida; Lamiales; Orobanchaceae.
UGAUGAGAUGAUGAUAUCGUCACUUUCUCUCUCUACACCAGAGCUUUAUGAUGAUGAGAAUCUUGAUGAUGCUGCAU